Molecule: long non-coding RNA, 299 nt
Filed under: Numida meleagris (helmeted guineafowl)
Lineage: Eukaryota; Metazoa; Chordata; Aves; Galliformes; Numididae
Description: lncRNA (ENSNMEG00000018642.1)
Source: RNAcentral
UGUUGCUAUGGCUUGCACAGUGGGAGCCGUAAGGGUCAGCAGAGAUCAGAGCCCCGCCAUUCUUCAUUCAAAGACAAAUAUCAGCAGUACAGUUUCUACCUAUUUUCUAUGAACAUGAGCGAUGCAUUUCUUGAAGAGGACUUUACUCCUGGGUCCAAUAUGGAUGUAUUCAGAGGGGAUGAAACACCAGUCUCCUUUCAGAUCAUUCUUGAAGAAUCCCCUUGAAGGAUUUCUCCUGGCAGAGAACAUCUCCUGAAGGCAAAUGUCAUACCAGAGAAUAAAGGAAUGCCAUACAUACA